GAGGAUACGGUUAACGGAGCGAAAGCGACGUUCAACCUCAAAAGAAGCAGAGGGGGCUUAGUGGUGGGGUGACUGCGUACCUUUUGUAUAAUGGGUCAGCGACUUAUAUUCUGUAGCAAGGUUAACCGAAUAGGGGAGCCGGAGGGAAACCGAGUCUUAAUUGGGCGUUAAGUUGCAGGGUAUAGACCCGAAACCCGGUGAUCUAGCCAUGGGCAGGUUGAAGGUUGGGUAACACUAACUGGAGGACCGAACCGACUAAUGUUGAAAAAUUAGCGGAUGACCUGUGGCUGGGGGUGAAAGGCCAAUCAAACCGGGAGAUAGCUGGUUCUCCCCGAAAGCUAUUUAGGUAGCGCCUCGUGAAUUCAUCUCCGGGGGUAGAGCACUGUUUCGGCUAGGGGGCCAUCCCGGCUUACCAACCCGAUGCAAACUGCGAAUACCGGAGAAUGUUAUCACGGGAGACACACGGCGGGUGCUAACGUCCGUCGUGAAGAGGGAAACAACCCAGACCGCCAGCUAAGGUCCCAAAGUCAUGGUUAAGUGGGAAACGAUGUGGGAAGGCCCAGACAGCCAGGAUGUUGGCUUAGAAGCAGCCAUCAUUUAAAGAAAGCGUAAUAGCUCACUGGUCGAGUCGGCCUGCGCGGAAGAUGUAACGGGGCUAAACCAUGCACCGAAGCUGCGGCAGCGACGCUGAUGCGUUGUUGGGUAGGGGAGCGUUCUGUAAGCCUGCGAAGGUGGCCUGUGAGGGUUGCUGGAGGUAUCAGAAGUGCGAAUGCUGACAUAAGUAACGAUAAAGCGGGUGAAAAGCCCGCUCGCCGGAAGACCAAGGGUUCCUGUCCAACGUUAAUCGGGGCAGGGUGAGUCGACCCCUAAGGCGAGGCCGAAAGGCGUAGUCGAUGGGAAACGGGUUAAUAUUCCCGUACUUGGUGUUACUGCGAAGGGGGGACGGAGAAGGCUAUGUUGGCCGGGCGACGGUUGUCCCGGUUUAAGCGUGUAGGUGUGUGUUCCAGGUAAAUCCGGUUCACUUUAACACUGAGGCGUGAUGACGAGGCACUACGGUGCUGAAGCAACAAAUGCCCUGCUUCCAGGAAAAGCCUCUAAGCAUCAGGUAACAUCAAAUCGUACCCCAAACCGACACAGGUGGUCAGGUAGAGAAUACCAAGGCGCUUGAGAGAACUCGGGUGAAGGAACUAGGCAAAAUGGUGCCGUAACUUCGGGAGAAGGCACGCUGACACGUAGGUGAAGUGAUUUACUCAUGGAGCUGAAGUCAGUCGAAGAUACCAGCUGGCUGCAACUGUUUAUUAAAAACACAGCACUGUGCAAACACGAAAGUGGACGUAUACGGUGUGACGCCUGCCCGGUGCCGGAAGGUUAAUUGAUGGGGUCAGCGCAAGCGAAGCUCCUGAUCGAAGCCCCGGUAAACGGCGGCCGUAACUAUAACGGUCCUAAGGUAGCGAAAUUCCUUGUCGGGUAAGUUCCGACCUGCACGAAUGGCGUAAUGAUGGCCAGGCUGUCUCCACCCGAGACUCAGUGAAAUUGAACUCGCUGUGAAGAUGCAGUGUACCCGCGGCAAGACGGAAAGACCCCGUGAACCUUUACUAUAGCUUGACACUGAACAUUGAGCCUUGAUGUGUAGGAUAGGUGGGAGGCUUUGAAGUGUGGACGCCAGUCUGCAUGGAGCCGGCCUUGAAAUACCACCCUUUAAUGUUUGAUGUUCUAACGUGGACCCGUGAUCCGGGUUGCGGACAGUGUCUGGUGGGUAGUUUGACUGGGGCGGUCUCCUCCUAAAGAGUAACGGAGGAGCACGAAGGUUGGCUAAUCCUGGUCGGACAUCAGGAGGUUAGUGCAAUGGCAUAAGCCAGCUUGACUGCGAGCGUGACGGCGCGAGCAGGUGCGAAAGCAGGUCAUAGUGAUCCGGUGGUUCUGAAUGGAAGGGCCAUCGCUCAACGGAUAAAAGGUACUCCGGGGAUAACAGGCUGAUACCGCCCAAGAGUUCAUAUCGACGGCGGUGUUUGGCACCUCGAUGUCGGCUCAUCACAUCCUGGGGCUGAAGUAGGUCCCAAGGGUAUGGCUGUUCGCCAUUUAAAGUGGUACGCGAGCUGGGUUUAGAACGUCGUGAGACAGUUCGGUCCCUAUCUGCCGUGGGCGCUGGAGAACUGAGGGGGGCUGCUCCUAGUACGAGAGGACCGGAGUGGACGCAUCACUGGUGUUCGGGUUGUCAUGCCAAUGGCACUGCCCGGUAGCUAAAUGCGGAAGAGAUAAGUGCUGAAAGCAUCUAAGCACGAAACUUGCCCCGAGAUGAGUUCUCCCUGAGACUUAGAGUCUCCUGAAGGAACGUUGAAGACGACGACGUUGAUAGGCCGGGUGUGUAAGCGCAGCGAUGCGUUGAGCUAACCGGUACUAAUGAACCGUGAGGCUUAACCUUACAACGCCG
RNAcentral lists this ribosomal RNA (2431 nucleotides) under Salmonella enterica subsp. enterica serovar Schwarzengrund. RNAcentral describes it as "partial 23S ribosomal RNA". It matches the Rfam family "Bacterial large subunit ribosomal RNA". Lineage: Bacteria; Pseudomonadati; Pseudomonadota; Gammaproteobacteria; Enterobacterales; Enterobacteriaceae. The record is from RNAcentral.